ACCAUCAUAGCUCAGUGGCAGAGCAUCUGCCUUGUGUGCAGAAGGUCCCUGGUUCAAUCCCCGAUGGCGGCA
Molecule: non-coding RNA, 72 nt
Organism: Rhineura floridana
Lineage: Eukaryota; Metazoa; Chordata; Lepidosauria; Squamata; Rhineuridae
Source: the annotation of a RefSeq genome assembly